This 123-nucleotide small RNA is filed under the name bovine gut metagenome. RNAcentral describes it as "Ribosomal protein L10 leader". It matches the Rfam family "Ribosomal protein L10 leader". From Rfam's summary of the family: This family is a putative r-protein leader autoregulatory structure found in B. subtilis and other low-GC Gram-positive bacteria. It is located in the 5' untranslated regions of mRNAs encoding ribosomal proteins L10 and L12 (rplJ-rplL). The record is from RNAcentral.
UUAAUAAACAGUCCCGAAGACAGCAGGUGCCGCAAGGCAUAAGUUGACAACGCCUGCCGAGGAAUUGUAAAAUUUCUUAUGAAUUUUUAUGCCUCUCGUCUUUGGACGGGAGGUUUUUCAAUU